GACGAACGUUGGCGGCGUGCUUAACACAUGCAAGUCGAACGGAAAGGCCCUGCUUUUGUGGGGUGCUCGAGUGGCGAACGGGUGAGUAACACGUGAGUAACCUGCCCUUGACUUUGGGAUAACUUCAGAAAACUGGGGCUAAUACCGGAUAGGAGCUCCUGCUGCAUGGUGGGGGUUGGAAAGUUUCGGCGGUUGGGGAUGGACUCGCGGCUUAUCAGCUUGUUGGUGGGGUAGUGGCUUACCAAGGCUUUGACGGGUAGCCGGCCUGAGAGGGUGACCGGCCACAUUGGGACUGAGAUACGGCCCAGACUCCUACGGGAGGCAGCAGUGGGGAAUAUUGCACAAUGGGCGGAAGCCUGAUGCAGCAACGCCGCGUGCGGGAUGACGGCCUUCGGGUUGUAAACCGCUUUCGCCUGUGACGAAGCGUGAGUGACGGUAAUGGGUAAAGAAGCACCGGCUAACUACGUGCCAGCAGCCGCGGUGAUACGUAGGGUGCGAGCGUUGUCCGGAUUUAUUGGGCGUAAAGGGCUCGUAGGUGGUUGAUCGCGUCGGAAGUGUAAUCUUGGGGCUUAACCCUGAGCGUGCUUUCGAUACGGGUUGACUUGAGGAAGGCAGGGGAGAAUGGAAUUCCUGGUGGAGCGGUGGAAUGCGCAGAUAUCAGGAGGAACACCAGUGGCGAAGGCGGUUCUCUGGGCCUUUCCUGACGCUGAGGAGCGAAAGCGUGGGGAGCGAACAGGCUUAGAUACCCUGGUAGUCCACGCUGUAAACGGUGGGUACUAGGUGUGGGGUCCAUUCCACAGGUUCCGUGCCGUAGCUAACGCUUUAAGUACCCCGCCUGGGGAGUACGGCCGCAAGGCUAAAACUCAAAGGAAUUGACGGGGCCCCGCACAAGCGGCGGAGCAUGCGGAUUAAUUCGAUGCAACGCGUAGAACCUUACCUGGGUUUGACAUGGAUCGGGAGCGCUCAGAGAUGGGUGUGCCUCUUUUGGGGUCGGUUCACAGGUGGUGCAUGGCUGUCGUCAGCUCGUGUCGUGAGAUGUUGGGUUAAGUCCCGCAACGAGCGCAACCCUUGUUCACUGUUGCCAGCACGUUAUGGUGGGGACUCAGUGGAGACCGCCGGGGUCAACUCGGAGGAAGGUGGGGAUGACGUCAAGUCAUCGUGCCCCUUAUGUCCAGGGCUUCACGCAUGCUACAAUGGCUGGUACAGAGAGUGGCGAGCCUGUGAGGGUGAGCGAAUCUCGGAAAGCCGGUCUCAGUUCGGAUUGGGGUCUGCAACUCGACCUCAUGAAGUCGGAGUCGCUAGUAAUCGCAGAUCAGCAACGCUGCGGUGAAUACGUUCCCGGGGCU
RNAcentral lists this ribosomal RNA (1346 nucleotides) under uncultured bacterium. RNAcentral's name for it is "bacterial SSU rRNA". It matches the Rfam family "Bacterial small subunit ribosomal RNA", at positions 28 to 1381 of the family's 1533-position model. The record is from RNAcentral.